GUGCUUGUGGCUCAGUGGCUAGGGCAUUGGCCCCAUAUGCCAAAGGUGGUGGGUUUAAACCCCCAAACUGCA
This 72-nucleotide transfer RNA is filed under the name Otolemur garnettii (small-eared galago). It matches the Rfam family "tRNA". Rfam says of the family: Transfer RNA (tRNA) molecules are approximately 80 nucleotides in length. Lineage: Eukaryota; Metazoa; Chordata; Mammalia; Primates; Galagidae. The record is from Rfam by way of RNAcentral.